This 301-nucleotide ribosomal RNA is filed under the name uncultured bacterium. RNAcentral's name for it is "partial 16S ribosomal RNA". It matches the Rfam family "Bacterial small subunit ribosomal RNA", at positions 509 to 809 of the family's 1533-position model. The record is from RNAcentral.
CAGCAGCCGCGGUAAUACGAGGGGGGCAAGCGUUGUUCGGAAUUAUUGGGCGUAAAGGGCGCGUAGGCGGUUUGGCAAGUUUGGUGUGAAAUCUUCGGGCUCAACUCGAAGUCUGCACCGAAAACUGCCGGGCUUGAGUAUGGGAGAGGUGAGUGGAAUUUCCGGUGUAGCGGUGAAAUGCGUAGAUAUCGGAAGGAACACCUGUGGCGAAAGCGGCUCACUGGACCAUUACUGACGCUGAGGCGCGAAAGCUAGGGGAGCAAACAGGAUUAGAUACCCCUGUAGUCCCUGUCUCUUAUAU